This 29-nucleotide non-coding RNA is filed under the name Mus musculus (house mouse). The record is from RNAcentral. Lineage: Eukaryota; Metazoa; Chordata; Mammalia; Rodentia; Muridae.
UAAGACUCUUUUAUGUUUGCCUUUCGGCA